Leopardus geoffroyi (Geoffroy's cat) is the source of this 255-nucleotide long non-coding RNA. RefSeq lists it as uncharacterized. NCBI's taxonomy places the organism in Eukaryota, Metazoa, Chordata, Mammalia, Carnivora, Felidae. The record is from RefSeq and is a predicted model, not a curated record. The transcript has 6 exons.
UGUCAGAUGUGUGCUCUUCCCAGCUCGGGAAGCUACAGGUUACAACAGAUUUGUGAACUCAGCCAAGCACAGUGGUGGCAGGACCUAGCUGCUACAAAGAAGACAUGUUUUAGACAAUACUCAUGUGUAUGGGCAAAAAACUCGAGGACUGUAUUUGUGACUAAUUGUAUAACAGGUUAUUUUAGUUUCUGUUCUGUGGAAAGCGUAAAGCAUUCCAACAAAGGGGAAGAUCGUGGUGUAGGGAAAGAGAGUAAG